The sequence is a non-coding RNA, 177 nucleotides long. It matches the Rfam family "6S / SsrS RNA". From Rfam's summary of the family: E. coli 6S RNA was the first non coding RNA to be sequenced, but its function was unknown until recently. It consists of 184 nucleotides that fold into an extended hairpin structure with a large single-stranded internal bulge. The record is from Rfam.
AUACACCUGCUGUGUGCGUGAAUUCGACUAUGUUUUGAGCCAACAUAUUUACAUUGGGAUUUCGAGUUUAUUUAUGGAAUAAAUGCCUUUUCACGAGGACUUAAGAAGUAAGUAACAGAAGACCCACCUGCUAGCGCAGGUUUCAAAACACUCGGAUCACGGCAUGGUGGGUAAAAU